GUUUUGUUUUUAAUUUGUUUUUAGAAGUAUUUUAGUUAAACAUUUAUGAAAAUGAUUGAAAGAUAUACAAUACGCUUGACGUAACCUCUGACGUGAACGUUUCUCGAACUUGAUUUUUUGUGGCCAAAGCCUCCACCAGGAGUCGCUGAUUUACGCCGCACAAAUUUGCAGUCAGUUUUUCGCACUUCCGAUGGCAGUUUACGUCACAGUCUAAAAAACAAACCUGGCGCUGGAAGAAUACUCGCUUGCAGUUUUUCACACAAAGGAUUUUUCAAUUAAUUUGCAAUAAAGCCAUGCGAAAGCCGAAGUUCGUGCAGUGUGUUAAGAGAAAAUUAGUUGAAAUGACAGCUGAUGAGUAUAUUUACAGGUACGUCUUCGCCCACCACCGAAUCCCGCCCGCCCUCCGCCGAACGCUAUGCCAGGUGAUUGAUUGAUGAUCUUGUGUGCAAUAAUAGAUCAUACAUGUGACUAUAGUCAUUUCAGGAUCUCGGAAGGAACUCAUUAAUAGCAAAUGACUCGAUAGCUAAUUAAAAAUCUUUUGUGUUGUACAA
Long non-coding RNA from Bombyx mori (domestic silkworm), 551 nucleotides. RefSeq lists it as uncharacterized. Lineage: Eukaryota; Metazoa; Arthropoda; Insecta; Lepidoptera; Bombycidae. The transcript is spliced from 4 exons. The record is from RefSeq and is a predicted model, not a curated record.